CGCGCAGGUGGCGCAGCGCGGCGUAAAGCGUGGUGGUCUUGCCCGAUCCGGUCGGGCCGGAGAGAAUGACAAUGCCGUUCGGAUCGGCCAGCGCGUC
RNAcentral lists this transfer RNA (97 nucleotides) under bioreactor metagenome. RNAcentral's name for it is "tRNA-Gln". The record is from RNAcentral.